Molecule: microRNA precursor, 180 nt
Filed under: Oryza brachyantha (malo sina)
Lineage: Eukaryota; Viridiplantae; Streptophyta; Magnoliopsida; Poales; Poaceae
Description: MIR812 microRNA precursor family
Rfam family: MIR812 microRNA precursor family
Source: Rfam by way of RNAcentral
AAUAAGUUCAUUUUUCAGUUUUUAGAUACAAUAUGUUCACUCUUCGUCUUAUUUAAAAAAAUUUUGUGAUUAAUAUUUUUAUUAUUACUAGAUGAUAAAAUAUGAAUAGUAUUUUAUAUGUGAUGUUUUUAAACAAAAUUUUCAAAUAAGACGAAUGAUUAAAAGUUGGACACAUAAAUU